AAUGAACGCUGGCAGAAUGCUUAACACAUCAGCAAUGGAUAGGUGGCCGGCGGGUGAGUAACGAGUAAAGAACUUGCCUCACGGCUGGGGGCAACAUUUGGAAGCGAAUGCUAAUAACUAAUACUGUGAGAGAGCUUUGCGUCCCAGUAGCUAGUUGGAGAGGUAACGGCUCACCAAGGCGAUGAUGGGUAGCCGGCCUGAGAGGGUGAUCGGCCACAAGGGGAAGGAGACACGGCCCUUAGUCCUACGGGAGGCAGCAGUGGGGAACAUUGGACAAUGUACCAAAGUCUGAUGCAGCAAUUCGGUUUGCACGACAAAGUUUUCGGAAUGAAAAGUGCUUUCAUUUGGGAAGCGGUACCAACAGAAGAAGUGACGGCUAAAUACGUGCCAGCAGCCGCGGUAAUUC
Molecule: ribosomal RNA, 406 nt
Filed under: uncultured bacterium
Lineage: Bacteria
Description: partial 16S ribosomal RNA
Rfam family: Bacterial small subunit ribosomal RNA
Source: RNAcentral